AUUGAACGCUGGCGGCAGGCCUAACACAUGCAAGUCGAGCGGAUGAAGGGAGCUUGCUCCUGGAUUCAGCGGCGGACGGGUGAGUAAUGCCUAGGAAUCUGCCUGGUAGUGGGGGAUAACGUCCGGAAACGGGCGCUAAUACCGCAACCGUCCUGAGGGAGAAAGUGGGGGACCUUCGGACCUCACGCUACCAGAUGAGCCUAGGUCGGAUUAGCUAGUUGGUGGGGUAAAGGCCUACCAAGGCGACGAUCCGUAACUGGUCUGAGAGGAUGAUCAGUCACACUGGAACUGAGACACGGUCCAGACUCCUACGGGAGGCAGCAGUGGGGAAUAUUGGACAAUGGGCGAAAGCCUGAUCCAGCCAUGCCGCGUGUGUGAAGAAGGUCUUCGGAUUGUAAAGCACUUUAAGUUGGGAGGAAGGGCAGUAAGUUAAUACCUUGCUGUUUUGACGUUACCAACAGAAUAAGCACCGGCUAACUUCGUG
RNAcentral lists this ribosomal RNA (484 nucleotides) under uncultured bacterium. Its description in RNAcentral is "partial 16S ribosomal RNA". It matches the Rfam family "Bacterial small subunit ribosomal RNA", at positions 30 to 507 of the family's 1533-position model. The record is from RNAcentral.